RNAcentral lists this ribosomal RNA (1399 nucleotides) under Streptococcus thermophilus. RNAcentral's name for it is "bacterial SSU rRNA". It matches the Rfam family "Bacterial small subunit ribosomal RNA". Lineage: Bacteria; Bacillati; Bacillota; Bacilli; Lactobacillales; Streptococcaceae. The record is from RNAcentral.
UGCAGUAGAACGCUGAAGAGAGGAGCUUGCUCUUCUUGGAUGAGUUGCGAACGGGUGAGUAACGCGUAGGUAACCUGCCUUGUAGCGGGGGAUAACUAUUGGAAACGAUAGCUAAUACCGCAUAACAAUGGAUGACACAUGUCAUUUAUUUGAAAGGGGCAAUUGCUCCACUACAAGAUGGACCUGCGUUGUAUUAGCUAGUAGGUGAGGUAAUGGCUCACCUAGGCGACGAUACAUAGCCGACCUGAGAGGGUGAUCGGCCACACUGGGACUGAGACACGGCCCAGACUCCUACGGGAGGCAGCAGUAGGGAAUCUUCGGCAAUGGGGGCAACCCUGACCGAGCAACGCCGCGUGAGUGAAGAAGGUUUUCGGAUCGUAAAGCUCUGUUGUAAGUCAAGAACGGGUGUGAGAGUGGAAAGUUCACACUGUGACGGUAGCUUACCAGAAAGGGACGGCUAACUACGUGCCAGCAGCCGCGGUAAUACGUAGGUCCCGAGCGUUGUCCGGAUUUAUUGGGCGUAAAGCGAGCGCAGGCGGUUUGAUAAGUCUGAAGUUAAAGGCUGUGGCUCAACCAUAGUUCGCUUUGGAAACUGUCAAACUUGAGUGCAGAAGGGGAGAGUGGAAUUCCAUGUGUAGCGGUGAAAUGCGUAGAUAUAUGGAGGAACACCGGUGGCGAAAGCGGCUCUCUGGUCUGUAACUGACGCUGAGGCUCGAAAGCGUGGGGAGCGAACAGGAUUAGAUACCCUGGUAGUCCACGCCGUAAACGAUGAGUGCUAGGUGUUGGAUCCUUUCCGGGAUUCAGUGCCGCAGCUAACGCAUUAAGCACUCCGCCUGGGGAGUACGACCGCAAGGUUGAAACUCAAAGGAAUUGACGGGGGCCCGCACAAGCGGUGGAGCAUGUGGUUUAAUUCGAAGCAACGCGAAGAACCUUACCAGGUCUUGACAUCCCGAUGCUAUUUCUAGAGAUAGAAAGUUACUUCGGUACAUCGGUGACAGGUGGUGCAUGGUUGUCGUCAGCUCGUGUCGUGAGAUGUUGGGUUAAGUCCCGCAACGAGCGCAACCCCUAUUGUUAGUUGCCAUCAUUCAGUUGGGCACUCUAGCGAGACUGCCGGUAAUAAACCGGAGGAAGGUGGGGAUGACGUCAAAUCAUCAUGCCCCUUAUGACCUGGGCUACACACGUGCUACAAUGGUUGGUACAACGAGUUGCGAGUCGGUGACGGCGAGCUAAUCUCUUAAAGCCAAUCUCAGUUCGGAUUGUAGGCUGCAACUCGCCUACAUGAAGUCGGAAUCGCUAGUAAUCGCGGAUCAGCACGCCGCGGUGAAUACGUUCCCGGGCCUUGUACACACCGCCCGUCACACCACGAGAGUUUGUAACACCCGAAGUCGGUGAGGUAACC